ACUCCUACGGGAGACAGCAGUGGGGAAUUUUGGACAAUGGGCGAAAGCCUGAUCCAGCAAUGCCGCGUGUGUGAAGAAGGCCUUCGGGUUGUAAAGCACUUUUGUCCGGAAAGAAAUCCUUGGCUCUAAUACAGUCGGGGGAUGACGGUACCGGAAGAAUAAGCACCGGCUAACUACGUGCCAGCAGCCGCGGUAAUACGUAGGGUGCGAGCGUUAAUCGGAAUUACUGGGCGUAAAGCGUGCGCAGGCGGUUUGCUAAGACCGAUGUGAAAUCCCCGGGCUCAACCUGGGAACUGCAUUGGUGACUGGCAGGCUAGAGUAUGGCAGAGGGGGGUAGAAUUCCACGUGUAGCAGUGAAAUGCGUAGGGAUGUGGAGGAAUACCGAUGGCGAAGGCAGCCCCCUGGGCCAAUACUGACGCUCAUGCACGAAAGCGUGGGGAGCAAACAGGAUUAGAAACCCCUGUAGUCCC
Molecule: ribosomal RNA, 470 nt
Filed under: uncultured organism
Description: partial 16S ribosomal RNA
Rfam family: Bacterial small subunit ribosomal RNA
Source: RNAcentral